RNAcentral lists this ribosomal RNA (83 nucleotides) under Orthotrichum shevockii. Its description in RNAcentral is "partial 5.8S ribosomal RNA". It matches the Rfam family "5.8S ribosomal RNA", at positions 72 to 154 of the family's 154-position model. From Rfam's summary of the family: 5.8S ribosomal RNA (5.8S rRNA) is a component of the large subunit of the eukaryotic ribosome. It is transcribed by RNA polymerase I as part of the 45S precursor that also contains 18S and 28S rRNA. Lineage: Eukaryota; Viridiplantae; Streptophyta; Bryopsida; Orthotrichales; Orthotrichaceae. The record is from RNAcentral.
UUGCAGAAUUCCGCGAAUCAUCGAGUCUUUGAACGCAAGUUGCGCCCGAGGCUUGUCCGAGGGCAUUUCCGCUAGAGCGUCAC